Molecule: transfer RNA, 68 nt
Filed under: Cordylochernes scorpioides
Lineage: Eukaryota; Metazoa; Arthropoda; Arachnida; Pseudoscorpiones; Chernetidae
Description: tRNA-Gly
Source: RNAcentral
AUGCUCGGCCGGGAAUCGAACUCGGGCCGCCCGCGUGGCAGGCGAGCAUUCUACCACUAAACCACCGA